This is a long non-coding RNA of Pseudophryne corroboree (corroboree frog), 715 nucleotides long. RefSeq lists it as uncharacterized. The transcript is spliced from 4 exons. The record is from RefSeq and is a predicted model, not a curated record. NCBI's taxonomy places the organism in Eukaryota, Metazoa, Chordata, Amphibia, Anura, Myobatrachidae.
GUCACACUGACAGGCAGCAUGAGCAGAAGCUCUUCACACUAUGGUCUCCCCCCACGCUCCUCCCCGCUGCACUAGUCAAAACAGGCAGCAGUGUCGCCCCUCCAGUCCUCCCUCCCCACUGAAGACACAGCAUCUUCAGCAUCACUCACCCCUCCUUCACGUAUGGGACAGCAAUGCACAGACAGGAAGUCAUGUGAUGUACACCUGACUGUGCACUGACUGGAGGAGCCAGCAGCGACAGGAAGAGGAGCAGCCAGCCACACAGAGGGACGAAGACUCUGCAGAGGCUCAGGCUCCGUAGUUACUACAGCGCCUGCAGGCAUUGUUUGCCGGUUUCCAUGGAAAUCUCCCUGCCGCACCGAGCGUCGUGACGUCAUGGCCCGGCGACACGGAAGUGAGUUGCGGAGGCUGGCGGGCGGUCGAGCCGUGCGGUCAGGUACCAUCACGACAAAGGCAUCCUGACGGUCAGAAUACUGAUGGAUCUUGACGGACAGCACAGGGAUCUUUCAGCAUAGCAGUGCAGGUGUACGUGAGUACAGGUGCAUAGCAGUACAGGAUCACAUCAGUACAAGUUCAUAGUGAUACAGAUUCACAGGUACAGUGGCCUUAACAUCCCUGCAACCCCUUCUGGAUGCUAAUCACCAUCAGAAGCAUUGUUCCCUUAUGCCUGGACCCCUUUAACACACUCUUACAGGUGCCUGUAAUAAACUGCUUC